CCUACGGGAGGCAGCAGUAGGGAAUCUUCCACAAUGGACGAAAGCCUGACGCAGCGACGCCGCGUGAGGGAUGAAGGGCUUCGGCUCGUAAACCUCUGUUGGCAGGGAAGAACGAUCGCUGUACUAAUCAGCCUUUAUUUGACGGUACCUACUUAGAAAGCACCGGCUAACUCCGUGCCAGCAGCCGCGGUAAUACGGAGGUUGCGAGCGUUGAUCGGAUUUACUGGGCGUAAAGCGCUCGUAGGCGGUAUGUCAAGUCAAGGGUGAAAGCCUCGGGCUCAACGUGGGAAUUGCAUAAGAAACUGGUGAACUGGAGUGUGGGAGAGGAGAGUGGAAUUCCAGGUGUAGGAGUGGAAUGCGUAGAUAUAUGGAGGAACACCAGUGGCGAAGGCGACUAUCUGGCCCAUAACUGACGCUGAGGAGCGAAAGCAUGGGUAGCGAACAGGAUUAGAUACCCCUGUAGUC
Molecule: ribosomal RNA, 465 nt
Filed under: uncultured bacterium
Lineage: Bacteria
Description: partial 16S ribosomal RNA
Rfam family: Bacterial small subunit ribosomal RNA
Source: RNAcentral